GAAAUGAAAGCAAGACUAGUCUUCUUGCAGAAACUAGACAUUUUGUAAAAACAAAUGGAGCAGAGAGAAGACUGGAUGUCCGUGACUGAAACAACCGUGACAAGACAAUCUCUCAGUAUGUCAGAUGGAUAAAAUAGCAACAGGCUUCUCUGUGGAAAUCUGAUUGAAACACACUCAUAUGAGGUGUCUGGGUUUUUCUCAGAGAAUGGAAAUUAAGAUUGCAGUAACUUUUCUACACCUGUUCGAAUACAUUCCAGUCCUCCAUUUUUUUCCCAGUAAGGACACAGAGAGGCUUGGACAUGUCCUGUAGCUUUUGGAUCCAGUUCUGAAUUGCUGAAGAUUUCACAUGAAGCAAUUUUUCUGGGGAUAAUGCCUCUAACUUGGGCUGAAAUUGUAUCAGCGCCUGUGGCAUUUCAGAACCAGAGAAGGCCAAAGUGCCACACAGCAAGCUACAUUUACUGCAGUCACCAGACAGCAGAACAAAAACAUUUUAUUCCACCCUAUUGUUUGGCAGUAAAUAGGAGCCUCUGGGGAAGGGAAAAGGACUCCAAAAGGUUUCCAGGCUUCUGACCUACUGCUGGAAGAUCGGAUCUGCUAUUUCAACAUGUAUCUACUCUGAUGUCUCCAUUGUCCAUUCUCCAACCACUCUUCAACUGCUGCACACCUCUCCCAAGCCCCAGCAUGUUUCCCCAGUACUGAGACUGGAGAGGUAGUACCUGAAACAUCCCUGACUAUUAAUUGACUACAUCUGCCUAUUGAUUUGACAUGUUAUAGGUAGGUCUGUGGAUAAUACAAAUCCUCAACUCUGAAAGAGAAAAUGGAGUCACGAUGAUUGCAUGAGCCUCACCCUCCUUUUGCAGAAGGCUACAGUCACUGCCUCUGUUGCUGGGCAAACUUCUCUGCUGUUGUGCUGCCAGAUAUAUAGAUGCAGACGAUUCUCCAAGUUUCAGUCAGCUUUUUUACUUUUUUCCCUCCUUUUUUAAGUAAUCAAAGUCUGAGUUGUUGAUUUCUCCUCUAGCUAAGAAGCCCUGCAGUCUGUAUUUUGUCACAGGUGUAGAUAUACCACUGUCAUGCAACAGUUAUUCUACAAAGUGACAUUGAAGCCUAUAGAGUGUGCUGUUGUUCAGAUGGCGUUACUUUAUUUUUCUACUGAGAUGGCUAUGCAUCUCAGCCGAGUCCUGGCUGUGAGCUAAGUAUCAACAACGUACUUUAUUUUCUCUCAGAUAUUUCUCGCUAAGGCAAGCCCCCAAGGCUAUUGGUAGCAGUCUGUUUGAGUAGGAAUUAACUGAAAACAGUCUUAAGUUUUGAGUCUACAGGAAUGUAAACCCUAGUCUAACUGCUGAAAUGUCUGCAGGCUUGCUCUUGAACAUGGAUCCAAACCUCACAUGAGUACAAGGACCCCUGUACAUGAGCAGCAGAGUGCCCAGAAGGCACGGAAGGCUUCUGCAUGAUAUAUGUGACAUAGGCAAAGAAGAGUGGCAGGUUGCAAAGUACAGGGGAUCAGCUAUUUUAACCUGAAGAGCUAUCCUGACCUCCCACCUGUGAUGGAUGCUGAUGAGGGUAUCUGCUCUCACAUGUGGCCCUUCCCAGUAGCAACAACAGCAGAAGUCCUCGGAUUUUCUGGGCUAACCCAGCUCUUUCCCUCUCCCCUCUGAAGCCAGAAGACUGGCUUCAACUCUCCUUCUUCCCCUUCAGGCAGCAAAGAGACACUUGAGAAUGGGGUAAGAAAUGCUGCAAGCAGGGGGGAGCGGUUGUUUGGGGUAGGAAGGGAGAGAAGGGAUGGUGGUCUGUAACAAACGGUGAGUCAAAUGUUAAGGCAGAGGAAGAACUGUAGUCAGCUGUCAAUGCCACUUUUUUCUAUCCUUUAACCAAAGCCCUAUUUGAAAUCUGAAAUCUCCUCCUUUCCUGCCCUUACAUGUUUUCUCUCUCAUUCUACCACCACUGCAAAACUUAGGUUUACCUAUAGAACUGAGAAGUUUGGAGCUGGCUCUGCCUUGUGUCUGUGCCUAUAGGUUAAAGGCAGUCUGCAGGCCUGAAACAGGAGGAAGAGUGGAGUGCAAAACUUUGAUAGCUGCUGCUGGCCUGCAUUUGCAAGUUAAUGUUGCCCUUUUUCAAGGGUUGCAGUAGUACUGCUUAUUGUGCACUUGCCAGCAUCCGGGGCAUUUGGUUCAGACUGAGCUAAAUAACCCUUAUGCUUAUUAGUUACCCUAUGCAUGGUGUAACCUCUGGCUUAAAAGCAAGUGUGUGUCACUUGAAUGGAGAAGGGAGGAUGGGCUAAAUUCUUUCCUGACUGGUAGCUGUAAAUAAAUAUUAGAGCUGAUCAAACA
Molecule: long non-coding RNA, 2327 nt
Organism: Dromaius novaehollandiae (emu)
Lineage: Eukaryota; Metazoa; Chordata; Aves; Casuariiformes; Dromaiidae
Source: Ensembl